CGUGGUUAAUCUGCCCUUGGGACGGAAACACCCCCGGGAAACUGGGGCUAAUUUCCGAUAGGUGAAGACUCCUGGAAUGGAUCUUCGCCUAAAGGGCGCUUAGGCCAUGCUUCUAAGCGCUGCCCAAGGAUGGGACCGCGGCCGAUCAGGUUGUUGGUGAGGUAAUGGCUCACCAAGCCUUUAACCGGUUCGGGCCGUGGGAGCGGGAGCCCGGAGAUGGGCACUGAGACAAGGGCCCAGGUCCUACGGGGCGCAGCAGUCGCGAAAACUCCGCAAUACGCGAAGGCGUGACGGGGCUAUCCCGAGUGCCGUCCGCUGAGGAUGGCUUUUCCCCAGUGUAGAUAGCUGGGGGAAUAAGGAGAGGGCAAGUCUGGUGUCAGCCGCCGCGGUAAUACCAGCUCUCCGAGUGGUGGGGACGUUUAUUGGGCCUAAAGCAUCCGUAGCCAGCUGAGCAAGUCCCCAGUUAAAUCCAGCGAUUUAAUCGUUGGACUGCUGGGGAUACUGUCCGGCUAGGGGGUGGGAGAGGCCGACGGUAUUCCCGGGGUAGGGGUGAAAUCCUAUAAUCCCGGGAGGACCACCAGUGGCGAAGGCUGUUGGCUAAAACAUGCCCGACGGUGAGGGAUGAAAGCUGGGGGAGCGAACCGGAUUAGAUACCCGGGUAGUCCCAGCUGU
RNAcentral lists this ribosomal RNA (672 nucleotides) under uncultured archaeon. Its description in RNAcentral is "bacterial SSU rRNA". It matches the Rfam family "Archaeal small subunit ribosomal RNA", at positions 99 to 754 of the family's 1478-position model. The record is from RNAcentral.